Molecule: ribosomal RNA, 570 nt
Filed under: Nisaea sp. MOLA 83
Lineage: Bacteria; Pseudomonadati; Pseudomonadota; Alphaproteobacteria; Rhodospirillales; Thalassobaculaceae
Description: bacterial SSU rRNA
Rfam family: Bacterial small subunit ribosomal RNA
Source: RNAcentral
UCGGGUACUGGACAGUGGCGCACGGGUGAGUAACGCGUGGGAACCUGCCCUGAGGUACGGGAUAACGGCUGGAAACGGCCGCUAAUACCGUAUGUCCCCUGAGGGGGAAAAAUUUAUCGCCUGUGGGGAGGGGCCCGCGUCCUAUUAUCUUGUGGGUGAGGUAAUGGCUCACCAAGGCGACGAUCGGUAGCUGGUCUGAGAGGAUGAUCAGCCACACUGGGACUGAGACACGGCCCAGACUCCUACGGGAGGCAGCAGUGGGGAAUAUUGGACAAUGGGGGCAACCCUGAUCCAGCAAUGCCGCGUGUGUGAUGAAGGCCUUAGGGUUGUAAAGCACUUUCACUGGUGAAGAUGAUGACGGUAGCCAGAGAAGAAGCCCCGGCUAACUCCGUGCCAGCAGCCGCGGUAAUACGGAGGGGGCAAGCGUUGUUCGGAAUUACUGGGCGUAAAGGGCGUGUAGGCGGCGAUUUUAGUCAGGCGUGAAAGCCCGGGGCUCAACCUCGGAAUAGCGCUUGAUACUGGAUCGCUUGAGACCGGAAGAGGGUAGUGAAUUUCCCAGUGUAGAGGUGA